Molecule: long non-coding RNA, 1304 nt
Organism: Prunus persica (peach)
Lineage: Eukaryota; Viridiplantae; Streptophyta; Magnoliopsida; Rosales; Rosaceae
Exons: 2
Source: RefSeq, a predicted model, not a curated record
CGGCCAGAGACCUCACUCACUGGAAUUGCAAUAAUCCGACACUACAGCCCCUCUCCCUUAUCCCAUCACCUUCCACCCCAGAACUCUCUGCUUCACCUUCACACUAAGCCGCCGCCGCCGCCGCAGGAGCCGCAGCGAGCCUUGCUGCUCCUCUCCUCCAUCUUCUUCAGUUCGUCUCCAUCUCUGAAUCCCCUAACCACAAGCUUCAGCCUCCAAUAUCCAGGCAACUGGUAGUGUGAGGAGAAUCCAAUUGAAGGCCACUGGUAGUGGAAAGAUGAGAUAUAUGUGCCAUGUGCCUUGCAGGUUCGAACGGUUUCAAUUUUAAUUGUGUUGCUCUAUUUGUUCUUCUUAAUUUGUUUGUAUUGGUUUGAGUUUUACGUUUUAUUGGGUUUUCUGAGAAUCUGAACAGGUUUUGAAGCGGCACAAUGGAAACUGCUCAGUAUUCCAAAUAGUCAUUUUAAUCAUCAUUUGGACUACCCAAUUAUAGUUGUACAAGGAAAUUUUAUUGAGUGCUAUGUUAUGCUAGUUGCUGACUCAAAUCUAUAUUCUGAAUUCUAAAAUUAAUUGAGUGCUAUGUUAUACUAAUUGCUGACAUUUUCCCUUCAUUUACUUAUUGAACGUUAGUCUGGUGCUUGCUAAAAAUAUUUACUGGUUAUAUUUCUCUUUAAAUUUGAAGCCUUCCUACCAAUUUCAACAUUUGCAGCCUUGAUUUUAUAACCAUUUUCAUUACUUUGGCAAGAACAUUUUCAGGUCUUUAAAAAUUAGUGCAAUUUUACAACACAAUUUUUGCAUGGCUUCUGUAUUGAGGUUUGAUUAAUUUAGCUUAAGCAAUAUGCUAUAUGUCUCCGACUUUUCAAAUAAUUGUCAUUUGAUUGAAUAGUUAUAUCUCUUGCAAGUGAAUGAAAUUCUUAAGUCGUUUCUCAUUUCAUGGAGUCCUUUCAAGUGUUAAUGAAAAUGUAGGGUGAGCUGGUGGUGCUAUCACUGGAAGUAACAACCACGCCAUGUUCUAUCCAUCAUUAAUGUCAGUCUCCAUGCGCCUAGAGGAUGAUUGAUCGCGGGAUGUGUCAUCUCUUGAUAUGGGAAAUUGGCAAGAUCUGGAUUACAAUUAUUUCUUUUUGUUACAGGUCUAGAUUACUUUGAUGAUCUUUUGUAAAACUGCCCCCAUUUGAUCUUCUAUAUAUGUAGGUGUUUUAGUCAUAUUCCCUUGAGUACUUUUUCUUGUCUACAGACACAGCAUACCAAAGUUUUGGAAAGAUGUGACAAUAAUUUUUGUUCACCUUUAUCUGUAAAUUUUGUGUUCAUUU